This is a non-coding RNA of Arachis ipaensis, 255 nucleotides long. The record is from RefSeq and is a predicted model, not a curated record. NCBI's taxonomy places the organism in Eukaryota, Viridiplantae, Streptophyta, Magnoliopsida, Fabales, Fabaceae.
GUUUUUCAAUUUUCGGUGUUUCUUUUCACUGCACUAUCUUUUUUCUUUUGCUGCUGCUUCUUGCUGCAAUGUGAUAGUGAUCCUUCUACUUGGAGCUACAUCAAUGAUCAUGUUCAUUUUCAUAUAGGACAGUGGUAUGCUUAACUUGGGAUAUAUGAUGUGGCUGUCAAGCAUAUGAUGGAAAUCUUGGCCUGCAGUCACCAGUCCAAGGCAACACAGGAAUUAUUCCUUAGUGACUUUCUUCAAACUGUGAAG